CCUACGGGUGGCAGCAGUGAGGAAUAUUGGUCAAUGGGCGAGAGCCUGAACCAGCCAAGUCGCGUGAGGGAGUACUGCCCUAUGGGUUGUAAACCUCUUUUGUCGGGGAGAAAAAGCCGGACGUGUCCGGCUGUGAGAGUACCCGAAGAAAAAGCAUCGGCUAACUCCGUGCCAGCAGCCGCGGUAAUACGGAGGUUGCGAGCGUUAUCCGGAUUUAUUGGGUUUAAAGGGUGCGCAGGCGGAUUUGUAAGUCCUCGGGAAAAUCGUGGGGCUAAACCCCAUCCAGCCGGUGAAACUGGGGAUCUAGAGUGUGCGAGAGGUAUGCGGAAUGCGUGGUGUAGCGGUGAAAUGCAUAGAUAUCACGCAGAACCCCGAUUGCGAAGGCAGCAUACCGGUGCACAACUGACGCUCAGGCACGAAAGCGUGGGUAUCGAACAGGAUUAGAUACCCCAGUAGUC
This 458-nucleotide ribosomal RNA is filed under the name uncultured bacterium. Its description in RNAcentral is "partial 16S ribosomal RNA". It matches the Rfam family "Bacterial small subunit ribosomal RNA", at positions 338 to 795 of the family's 1533-position model. The record is from RNAcentral.